This 253-nucleotide ribosomal RNA is filed under the name uncultured bacterium. Its description in RNAcentral is "partial 16S ribosomal RNA". It matches the Rfam family "Bacterial small subunit ribosomal RNA", at positions 524 to 776 of the family's 1533-position model. The record is from RNAcentral.
UACGUAGGGACCAAGCGUUGUCCGGAUUUAUUGGGCGUAAAGAGCUCGUAGGCGGCCCUCCACGUCGGAUGUGAAAGCUCAGGGCUCAACCCUGAGAUGCCAUUCGAUACGGGAAGGCUAGAGGUAGGUAGGGGAAAGUGGAAUUCCUGGUGUAGCGGUGAAAUGCGCAGAUAUCAGGAGGAACACCGGUGGCGAAGGCGGGUCUCUGGGCCGAUACUGACGCUGAGGAGCGAAAGCGUGGGGAGCGAACAGG